Molecule: non-coding RNA, 2246 nt
Organism: Pimephales promelas (fathead minnow)
Lineage: Eukaryota; Metazoa; Chordata; Actinopteri; Cypriniformes; Leuciscidae
Source: RefSeq, a predicted model, not a curated record
CAAAUGCAAGACGCAUUUCUUGUAAAUGUGAAUGUUACUGAGGAGGGAACAGAUGUAAUGGUGUCCAUCUGCAAUGGUGUCCUUUACAAACAAAGCUGUAUAUCUCUUGGAGGGGAGCAACUGGCCCAACAAACUGCUGUUGAAUCGAACCACAAACAAGAAUGGACGGGCUGGGUUCUCCAUAAACAGUGCUAAUCUUAAGGCUGAUCUGAAUCUGGUGGCGAGUGCUAAUCCAGAGGUUUUUUAUGGUUGUAAAUCGCCAUACUUCACUACAGAUACAAGUGACCGUGGAGUAUUCAUUUGUUGGAGAGGCUGGUAGCUACAGCGCUGACAUAAUCUAUAUGGUCUCAUCCAAAGGAGUGAUCGUCCUCCAUGGAUUUGAUUGAUGCAGUCACAAGUGGCUCUGUGACGUUCCAGUUGUCUGUCAGCGUCGAUAUGGCUCCAGCAGUGCAGAUUCUGGUCUACAGCGUUCUUCCCAGUGAGAAUGUAGUUGCUGCUAGUGUGCCGUUUGACACCGAUAUGUGUUUCCAGAACCAGGUGUCUCUGCAGUUUUCUCCAGCUACGGUUGUUCCUGCGGAGGGAAACGUUCUGAAGGUUUCUGCUCAAGCAGGAUCUCUGUGUGGCCUCAGUGCUGUAAAUCAGAGCGUCCGGAUCAUGGAGCCAGGAUCAUGGAGCCAGGAAGACGUCUGAGUGCUGAAAGGGUGUCUGAGUGCCUCAAUCAGGUUUUUUGUUUGGGCUUUUAAUCUGAAUAUUUCAGUGUGUGGCACUUCUGAUUAGAAUGCCACUUUAGUUUACUCCGGCCGUCUGUGCGACCGUCCGUCUGUCUGUCUGUCUGUCCGUCCGUCCAUGCGUGCGACCGUCUGUGCGUGCGACCGUCCGUCCGUCCGUGAGUGCGUCCGUGCGUGCGAACGUCCGUCCGUGCGUCCGUCUGUCCGUCCAUCAGACACAAAGACCUAGGCGCCGCAGAAUGGAGAAGCCAUGGCGUGAAGAGUCCCAACACUAGUCUCCCAAGUCUUUGAGGUGAAAAAAAUACGGUAAGUUGUUGUGUAAGGGAAGUUCAAUGACUGAUCUGAGGCCUUAAUCUAAAGCGCUUUGUUUCUGGUUUAGUUUCGCCCAAGUUUGACUUGACCUUAUACGCACCACAGACCUACAGCGUUGCAGUUAUGGGACUGAAAGUUGAGUCUUGUGCCAAAUGUACAUAUGGCCAACCUGUACCUGGUCAAGUCUUAGUGGAAGUGUUCUGUGAUCCAUUUCCAUACAGUCUGCUUCAUAAUUUGACCAGACAGUUCCUGACUAAAACCGCAAAGAUGAAUGCCACGGGCUGUGCCUCUCUUACUGUUGAUGCGUCAGUGUUUUUCAACACCAAAUUUGAAGACCAAAUGCAAGACGCAUUUCUUGUAAAUGUGAAUGUUACUGAGGAGGGAACAGAUGUAAUGGUGUCCAUCUGCAAUGGUGUCCUUUACAAACAAAGCUGUAUAUCUCUUGGAGGGGAGCAACUGGCCCAACAAACUGCUGUUGAAUCGAACCACAAACAAGAAUGGACGGGCUGGGUUCUCCAUAAACAGUGCUAAUCUUAAGGCUGAUCUGAAUCUGGUGGCGAGUGCUAAUCCAGAGGUUUUUUAUGGUUGUAAAUCGCCAUACUUCACUACAGAUACAAGUGACCGUGGAGUAUUCAUUUGUUGGAGAGGCUGGUAGCUACAGCGCUGACAAUCUAUAUGGUCUCAUCCAAAGGAGUGAUCGUCCUCCAUGGAUUUGAUUGAUGCAGUCACAAGUGGCUCUGUGACGUUCCAGUUGUCUGUCAGCGUCGAUAUGGCUCCAGCAGUGCAGAUUCCGGUCUACAGCGUUCUUCCCAGUGAGAAUGUAGUUGCUGCUAGUGUGCCGUUUGACACCGAUACGUGUUUCCAGAACCAGGUGUCUCUGCAGUUUUCUCCAGCUACGGUUGUUCCUGCGGAGGGAAACGUUCUGAAGGUUUCUGCUCAAGCAGGAUCUCUGUGUGGCCUCAGUGCUGUAAAUCAGAGCGUCCGGAUCAUGGAGCCAGGAUCAUGGAGCCAGGAAGACGUCUGAGUGCUGAAAGGGUGUCUGAGUGCCUCAAUCAGGUUUUUUGUUUGGGCUUUUAAUCUGAAUAUUUCAGUGUGUGGCACUUCUGAUUAGAAUGCCACUUUAGUUUACUCCGGCCGUCUGUGCGACCGUCCGUCUGUCUGUCUGUCUGUCCGUCCGUCCAUGCGUGCGACCGUCUGUGCGUGCGA